Molecule: non-coding RNA, 339 nt
Organism: Callorhinus ursinus (northern fur seal)
Lineage: Eukaryota; Metazoa; Chordata; Mammalia; Carnivora; Otariidae
Source: RefSeq, a predicted model, not a curated record
GGUUCGGGGGACUCUCAGGUCCUAACGGUGACCCCUGGGGACCAUGCUUGGAAAACACCUUGAAGCCGGGGACCUGAGUGUGGGCGACAGAAUAAUGUCUCCGUGGACCCCCGAGAUGUCCACGUCCUAAUCGCCAGAACCUGUGUCAAGAAUUUGUCCUGCGUUGACUGUUCCAUGUACUGUUAUGUGUCAUGGAGACAUAGUGAGAGGAAGAUAACCUAAGAUGCUGACCCCCACAGAGUGUAAGAUCUAGUGGAACAUACAGACAAGAAUAAUAUAGUAGUGCAGAACUUGGCACAAAGGAGGUGACCAAUGAAUAUUUAUUAAAUAAAAUAUAAA